UACGUAGGGGGCGAGCGUUGUCCGGAUUUAUUGGGCGUAAAGAGCUCGUAGGCGGUUCACUAAGUCGGGUGUGAAACCUCCAGGCUCAACCUGGAGACGUCACCUGAUACUGGUGUGACUAGAGUCCGGUAGGGGAGUGUGGAACUCCUGGUGUAGCGGUGAAAUGCGCAGAUAUCAGGAAGAACACCAGCGGCGAAGGCGGCACUCUGGGCCGGUACUGACGCUGAGGAGCGAAAGCGUGGGUAGCAAACAGG
Molecule: ribosomal RNA, 254 nt
Filed under: uncultured bacterium
Lineage: Bacteria
Description: partial 16S ribosomal RNA
Rfam family: Bacterial small subunit ribosomal RNA
Source: RNAcentral